Small nucleolar RNA from Cavia porcellus (domestic guinea pig), 137 nucleotides. The record is from Ensembl. Lineage: Eukaryota; Metazoa; Chordata; Mammalia; Rodentia; Caviidae.
CUGGCCCUGAAUCAAGGCUGGCAGCUUCCUGACGCCGUUGAUUUCAAGCAGAAGCCUAAAGAGAUGUCUUUCUGUGGUCUGUUGGCCAUUUCAGAACUUGGGAAGUGAAAUGGUCAAUUCAUCAGAAAGAUACAGCU